UUGAACGCUGGCGGCAGGCCUAACACAUGCAAGUCGAACGGUAACAGGAAGCAGCUUGCUGCUUUGCUGACGAGUGGCGGACGGGUGAGUAAUGUCUGGGAAACUGCCCGAUGGAGGGGGAUAACUACUGGAAACGGUAGCUAAUACCGCAUAACGUCGCAAGACCAAAGAGGGGGACCUUAGGGCCUCUUGCCAUCGGAUGUGCCCAGAUGGGAUUAGCUAGUAGGUGGGGUAACGGCUCACCUAGGCGACGAUCCCUAGCUGGUCUGAGAGGAUGACCAGCCACACUGGAACUGAGACACGGUCCAGACUCCUACGGGAGGCAGCAGUGGGGAAUAUUGCACAAUGGGCGCAAGCCUGAUGCAGCCAUGCCGCGUGUAUGAAGAAGGCCUUCGGGUUGUAAAGUACUUUCAGCGGGGAGGAAGGGAGUAAAGUUAAUACCUUUGCUCAUUGACGUUACCCGCAGAAGAAGCGCCGGCUAACUCCGUG
Molecule: ribosomal RNA, 489 nt
Filed under: uncultured bacterium
Lineage: Bacteria
Description: partial 16S ribosomal RNA
Rfam family: Bacterial small subunit ribosomal RNA
Source: RNAcentral